CUGGAUGUGUCAUCACGUCCAUGUAACCGUUCCAUCAUGACUAGAUGAUCACAUUCAGC
This 59-nucleotide microRNA precursor is filed under the name Panagrellus redivivus. RNAcentral describes it as "microRNA prd-mir-44 precursor". Its record names the gene prd-mir-44. Lineage: Eukaryota; Metazoa; Nematoda; Chromadorea; Rhabditida; Panagrolaimidae. The record is from miRBase by way of RNAcentral.